This 253-nucleotide ribosomal RNA is filed under the name uncultured bacterium. Its description in RNAcentral is "partial 16S ribosomal RNA". It matches the Rfam family "Bacterial small subunit ribosomal RNA", at positions 524 to 776 of the family's 1533-position model. The record is from RNAcentral.
UACGAAGGGGGCUAGCGUUGCUCGGAAUCACUGGGCGUAAAGCGCACGUAGGCGGAUUGUUAAGUCAGGGGUGAGAUCCUGGAGCUCAACUCCAGAACUGCCUUUGAUACUGGCAAUCUCGAGUUCGGGAGAGGUGAGUGGAACUGCGAGUGUAGAGGUGAAAUUCGUAGAUAUUCGCAAGAACACCAGUGGCGAAGGCGGCUCACUGGCCCGAUACUGACGCUGAGGUGCGAAAGCGUGGGGAGCAAACAGG